RNAcentral lists this long non-coding RNA (2727 nucleotides) under Triticum aestivum (bread wheat). RNAcentral's name for it is "long non-coding RNA (TAES_LNC015098)". Lineage: Eukaryota; Viridiplantae; Streptophyta; Magnoliopsida; Poales; Poaceae. The record is from RNAcentral.
ACCUCGGCCUAGCAACAGCUGUCAAGAACAUAACCUUUCCAAUACAACUGCCAUUUUGCAGAGUUCUCGUAGGCUCUUCCUCCCCAUACAAUAGAUAAUAGUUCCUUUUUUUCUUGGUCAUAUAGAACCAUUUCUUGUCAAUAUGAAUAAUGUUGUGCAUGGUCUUGAAUUUUGGCCUUUCAGUUUGUGUUGUUGUCUCAUGGAGCAUUGACAAGCAAUAUUUCAUUCUAUCCUUCUUGUUCUUUUCUUCCAGAACUGGCUUCAAACUAUUUGUAUGCCUCUUUAUCAACUUCAGCAUGAACUUCCGGUGGAGUGUCGUAGGGCUGCACUGGAGUUGCCAAGCAAGUGACCUGAUAGUAGACCUCCUGUUCGGUGGGAUGGUAGGGAUUUGCUCUAGAUUGAUGUCUUUCGGCUUUCUUCCACAAUUUCCUUUCCUCUAACUUGAAACAUCUACCUCUAGACCUUUAGCAAUUUGCUCCAUCGCUUUCUUCCAAAUUCUUUGUAUAUUCCAGACACCCACUCCAAAGAAACUUUCCCCCUCUACUCAUGCACAAUGUAUGCAUUGCAACAUAGGCAGCAUAUUUUUGUUUGCCAUCUAGGCUAUCCCUUUUCUGAACUGCUUGCUCAACACCUGCACAAAGAAAAAUAUGAUCAAAUGGAGUACAACAAUGCAUUUAUACAAGUCAUUUGAGUCGUUUACUAUCUAUUCAUGAUCAUUUGAGUCAUUUACCUGCAUGUUGAACAAUUUCAUCUCCUAGAUCUUCAUCCAUUUCAUCUCUUACAUCUUCAUCCAUUUCAUCUCCAUCUUCUGAAGGUGGGGUGUAGUUGAGGUCUGGGAGAUCCAUGUUUUCCAGGCAACUGAAAAGAACUUUCAAGGUAAGAGGUUGAACUUUCAAGAUGCACAACAGUACAUUUCGGAAAAGAAAAUGACCAAAUGGAGUAGUACCACAUUCUUGCAUACUUUGUUUGCACUAUUCUCUCGCUUGCACUGCUUGUUUAACAUUAAAUGAUCAAAUGGAAAUGAAAAUGAUCUUGGAGUAGUUUAGUGUAGGACUUGGAGUAGUACAUGAAACUUUUCCUUCAACUGAAAUUAACUAAAACUUUAACUGUCAAAAUAUCCAGAAGGUUCUAGUUGAGGUUCAUCAGUAGCAAGUGUAACUACUGUAGUAGCAAGUGUAGCAAGUGGAGUAUUGAUCCUUUCCAAAUUAACACUCCAAUUUGAGUAUCAUUAAAGUAAUGUUGUUAAAGUAAUGUAGGAGUAUCAUUUAUUGUUUGUUUCCAAAUUAAUACUCCUAAAUUAAAGUAAUGUUGUUAAAGUAAUGUAGGAGUAUCACUUCCUAGCCCUUCUUUCUACUUUUUCGAGUAGAAUUUUUCAGUUAAAAAUUUCAGAAUUUUUGCCUGAAAUGCUACCGCAAGGAAUAUUUGAAGACAUACUCCAUUAAGUUAGGAGUAUGUAGCAGUACUUAUUUUGAGUAGCUAGGAAUGAAGCUUCCUAGCAAUUUGACCAAAUUCUGUCAUUUACUCCAUUUCAAUGAAGUUUUUGUCAUUUAUUCUGUCAAUGGUAUUCACUGCAAUAAUUUGAAAGUACUGAUGCAUUCAAUUUCCAUUUGACUUAUGCAAACUGAAUUUACUCAAAUCUCUCUCAGCCAAUAAUAAAAUCUCUUAGCAAUGAUGUAAAAAUAAUCAAAUCUCUCCAUUUGACUUAUGCAGGCCUUAUACAAUGAUGUAAAAAUACUCAAAUCUCUCCAUUUAAUUUCCAUUUGACUUAUGCAGGUCUUAUUACAGUAAUAAAAUCUCUUAGCAAUGAUGUAAAAAUACUCAAAUCUCUCCCAGCCAAAAGAUGUUUUGUCAGGUCUUAUUACAGUACUACUCCAGUCAUGAACCUAUUUUUGUUGUGUGUGUGUUCUCAGAAAAACAAUGUACUCCAGUCUGUUUUCAGUAGCUGUCUCUCAUGAUCCUUUAAUGAGAAAAAGAAUAUGUGUAAUCCAGAUGACAACAUUUUCAGUCUAUGAUUUUACUCCUAUUGCAGAGGUUCUUUCAGAAUUUUCAGAAUAAAUGAUGCACAGUCAACAGUUAAUACAGUUUGGUCUGGUACUCCUAUUGUCUGAAAUGCUACAGUUUAUGAUCUGCUAGUCCUUUUGUUCAAUUUAUUUACUCCAUCAGUACUCUAUCACUUGAAUCAAAUUAUUUACUCCAUCAGUACUCCAUCGGUACUCCAUCAGUACUCCAUCACUUGAAUCAAAUUACCAGUUCAAACUUAGUGAUAUCUCUGAAUUAUUCUGCCAAAUUCAGUUAACUUGUUCAAAUUAUUUGUUGAAUUAUUGGCAGCAAACAUUUCUUCAAUCAAAUGCUGGCAGUUCUGAAUUACUCCAGGAGAGCACAUCUCUUGAAUGACUUGAGUAUUGUUUAUGCUUGCAGUUCGUUUCCAGCAACAACAGAGAGAUGUGCUUCAGUAGAGGAUCAAAUGAUCAGAGAGAGGAGAUGAACCUGGGCACCAGCCGAGCCCAGCAGCAGCUCCUGGACGUGGGAGAGGAGGAGCGCCUGCGCCUGGAUGCAGUGGCCGGAGGUGGGGACAGAGGUGGAGGUGGAGGAACAGCCUGUGCUCGCCUCCACCUGGGCGCGGGCCAGGAGGAGCCGAUGCGCGUGGGCGACAGCAGAGCACCAGCUCUACUCCGGCGGCGGCAGCGCCUGGGCAGGGGGCGGAGGAGGUGGAGGGUGGGGGCGGAG